CAUCUGGUGAUUUCACAUGGACAGCAAAAGCAAAAUGGUUUUAAGAUGAAGGAGGGAAGAUUUAGGUUGGAUGUCAGGGGGAAGUUCUUUACUAUGGGAGUGGUGAGGUGCUGGAACAGCUGCCCAGACAGGCUGUGGAUGCCCCGUCCACCCCUGGAGGUGUUGAAGGGGCCCUGGGCAGCCUGGUGUGGUAUUAAGUGUGGAGGUUGGUGGCCCUGCCUGUGGCAGGGUGUUGGAGCUUCAUGAUCCUUGAGGUCCCUUCCAACCCAAGCUGCUCUAUGGUUCUUUAAAAUGUAGGGUGUAAGGAACAUAAUGUUCAAGGGUGGUUGUUGCUGGUAUGAGAAGGUGGAACUCUUGCUUUAAUACCUGUUAGUUGUGUUAGUGUUAUGGGAGGAGCACAAGUACAAACUGCAGGAUUAUUCUUUUUAAAG
This 431-nucleotide long non-coding RNA is filed under the name Gallus gallus (chicken). RNAcentral describes it as "lncRNA (ENSGALG00010028330.1)". Lineage: Eukaryota; Metazoa; Chordata; Aves; Galliformes; Phasianidae. The record is from RNAcentral.